Molecule: long non-coding RNA, 602 nt
Organism: Oxyura jamaicensis (ruddy duck)
Lineage: Eukaryota; Metazoa; Chordata; Aves; Anseriformes; Anatidae
Exons: 3
Source: RefSeq, a predicted model, not a curated record
UAGAAAGGCACUUUGGAGAAAGGACAUUAUCCUCUCCCUUCUCCUGGAGAUGGAGUUCAUUGGAGGAAAUGCUCAAGUCAGUUGACUUGCCCAAGCAAGAGCCCAGUGGAGCAAGGCAGUCUCGAGACUCCUGCUCCAUGGACAAUUGUUAUGUUACAGAAGACUCAGGGAGAAUAUGAGUUCGGUCUUUCUCCACUAUCCAUCCUAAAGGCAGGCUCCAGGCUGCAGCUGGCAAAGCCUCCCCCACCUUGGUCCUUUGGGCUCUAUGCUUUGGCCACGUACAGGCUCCGAAACUAGCCAGCCAGACCUAAGUGACUUGCCUGAGGUCACCGAAGAAGGCAGUGGCGGAGAGAAUUUCACCAUGGUCCUGUGGCCGCUUACCUAGUUUGGUUCACGUGGUAAGUUCUGACUAAAACUAGAAUGAAAUACACAGCAAGAGAUGCAAACACCAGCCCCAGGACACCAUUCUGGGGCUAUCAUGCAGGAAGACUUAAAACCACAUUUGUAAGAUAACACACCCAAUAUAUCUACGGUUUUUCACCAGCCUGAGAAAUGCUUCUCCCUGCUCCGGUCUCCUAACUCCAGCCUAAUGAAUAAAAGGG